UGAUAAAAAGAGGAGUUGAACCCCUAUCAAUGGGACUACAGCCCACCGCCUAAACAUUCGGCCAUUUUACC
RNAcentral lists this transfer RNA (71 nucleotides) under Liolaemus ruibali. Its description in RNAcentral is "tRNA-Tyr". The record is from RNAcentral. Lineage: Eukaryota; Metazoa; Chordata; Lepidosauria; Squamata.